GAUCCUCCUCCUCCUUCUACUUUCGUCUAGCCCUUCAAGAAGAGGUUCAGAGUUUUUCUUCCUCCUAGUUCAAAUUGUAUCCUGCAUACACAAGAAAACAAAACCCUAUUAAGCAAUGGUUAGCACAAACAAAAACAAAAAUAAAAAAAAAAAUCAAGUUGAAGUUAAUCAAUAAUCACACGAAUAGAAUAGUUAAACCAUGAGUCCCCAGCAACGACGCCAAAAACUUGUUAAGACUCCGACAACUAUAUCAAAUAGUAUCAUGGAGUUAUAGUGCAGAAAAGUCAACCAGAAUGCAGAAAAGUCAACCCAUCAACUAGAAACGUCAAUCUGUCA
Molecule: long non-coding RNA, 336 nt
Filed under: Vigna radiata
Lineage: Eukaryota; Viridiplantae; Streptophyta; Magnoliopsida; Fabales; Fabaceae
Description: long non-coding RNA (VRAD_LNC004181)
Source: RNAcentral